Molecule: unclassified non-coding RNA, 347 nt
Filed under: soil metagenome
Description: partial contains 5.8S ribosomal RNA, internal transcribed spacer 2, and large subunit ribosomal RNA
Rfam family: 5.8S ribosomal RNA (bases 1-120)
Source: RNAcentral
GAUGAAGAACGUAGCGAAAUGCGAUAAGUAAUGUGAAUUGCAGAAUUCAGUGAAUCAUCGAAUCUUUGAACGCACAUUGCGCCCGCCAGUAUUCUGGCGGGCAUGCCUGUCUGAGCGUCAUUUCAACCCUCAUGCCCCUAGGCGUGGUGUUGGGGAUCGGCCAAAGCCCGCGAGGGACGGCCGGCCCCUAAAUCUAGUGGCGGACCCGUCGUGGCCUCCUCUGCGAAGUAGUGAUAUUCCGCAUCGGAGAGCGAUGAGCCCCUGCCGUUAAACCCCCAACUUUCCAAGGUUGACCUCAGAUCAGGUAGGAAUACCCGCUGAACUUAAGCAUAUCAAUAAGCGGAGGA